GCGAGAGUGGCGGAACUGGCAGACGCGCUAGACUUAGGAUCUAGUGCCUUCGGGUGUGGGGGUUCGACUCCCCCCUUUCGCACCA
RNAcentral lists this transfer RNA (85 nucleotides) under Nitrospirota bacterium. RNAcentral's name for it is "Nitrospirae bacterium (marine metagenome) tRNA-Leu". It matches the Rfam family "tRNA". From Rfam's summary of the family: Transfer RNA (tRNA) molecules are approximately 80 nucleotides in length. Their secondary structure includes four short double-helical elements and three loops (D, anti-codon, and T loops). The record is from RNAcentral. Lineage: Bacteria; Pseudomonadati; Nitrospirota.